GAUGAACGCUAGCUACAGGCUUAACACAUGCAAGUCGAGGGGAAACGACAUCGAAAGCUUGCUUUUGAUGGGCGUCGACCGGCGCACGGGUGAGUAACGCGUAUCCAACCUGCCCACCACUUGGGGAUAACCUUGCGAAAGUAAGACUAAUACCCAAUGAUAUCUCUAGAAGACAUCUGAAAGAGAUUAAAGAUUUAUCGGUGAUGGAUGGGGAUGCGUCUGAUUAGCUUGUUGGCGGGGUAACGGCCCACCAAGGCUACGAUCAGUAGGGGUUCUGAGAGGAAGGUCCCCCACAUUGGAACUGAGACACGGUCCAAACUCCUACGGGAGGCAGCAGUGAGGAAUAUUGGUCAAUGGGCGAGAGCCUGAACCAGCCAAGUAGCGUGCAGGAUGACGGCCCUAUGGGUUGUAAACUGCUUUUAUAAGGGAAUAAAGUGAGCCUCGUGAGGCUUUUUGCAUGUACCUUAUGAAUAAGGACCGGCUAAUUCCGUGCCAGCAGCCGCCGCCG
This 508-nucleotide ribosomal RNA is filed under the name uncultured bacterium. Its description in RNAcentral is "partial 16S ribosomal RNA". It matches the Rfam family "Bacterial small subunit ribosomal RNA", at positions 28 to 523 of the family's 1533-position model. The record is from RNAcentral.